This 253-nucleotide ribosomal RNA is filed under the name uncultured bacterium. RNAcentral's name for it is "partial 16S ribosomal RNA". It matches the Rfam family "Bacterial small subunit ribosomal RNA", at positions 524 to 776 of the family's 1533-position model. The record is from RNAcentral.
UACGUAGGGUGCGAGCGUUGUCCGGAAUUAUUGGGCGUAAAGAGCUCGUAGGCGGUCUGUCGCGUCUGCUGUGAAAACCUAGGGCUUAACCCUGGGCCUGCAGUGGGUACGGGCAGACUAGAGUGCGGUAGGGGAGACUGGAAUUCCUGGUGUAGCGGUGAAAUGCGCAGAUAUCAGGAGGAACACCGGUGGCGAAGGCGGGUCUCUGGGCCGUAACUGACGCUGAGGAGCGAAAGCAUGGGUAGCGAACAGG